Molecule: ribosomal RNA, 253 nt
Filed under: uncultured bacterium
Lineage: Bacteria
Description: partial 16S ribosomal RNA
Rfam family: Bacterial small subunit ribosomal RNA
Source: RNAcentral
UACGUAGGGUGCGAGCGUUGUCCGGAAUUAUUGGGCGUAAAGAGCUCGUAGGCGGUUUGUUGCGUCGGCCGUGAAAACCUGCAGCUUAACUGUGGGCCUGCGGCCGAUACGGGCAGACUUGAGUUCGGUAGGGGAGACUGGAAUUCCUGGUGUAGCGGUGAAAUGCGCAGAUAUCAGGUGGAACACCCGUAGCGAAGGCGGCAUUCUGGGCCGAUACUGACGCUGAGGAGCGAAAGCGUGGGGAGCGAACAGG